Molecule: ribosomal RNA, 435 nt
Filed under: uncultured bacterium
Lineage: Bacteria
Description: partial 16S ribosomal RNA
Rfam family: Bacterial small subunit ribosomal RNA
Source: RNAcentral
AACGAACGCUGGCGGCAUGCCUAACACAUGCAAGUCGAACGAUUGCCUUCGGGUGAUAGUGGCGCACGGGUGCGUAACGCGUGGGAAUCUGCCCUUAGGUUCGGAAUAACAGCUGGAAACGGCUGCUAAUACCGGAUGAUAUCGCGAGAUCAAAGAUUUAUCGCCUGAGGAUGAGCCCGCGUUGGAUUAGGUAGUUGGUGGGGUAAAGGCCUACCAAGCCGACGUUCCAUAGCUGGUCUGAGAGGAUGAUCAGCCACACUGGGACUGAGACACGGCCCAGACUCCUACGGGAGGCAGCAGUGGGGAAUAUUGGACAAUGGGCGCAAGCCUGAUCCAGCAAUGCCGCGUGAGUGAUGAAGGCCCUAGGGUUGUAAAGCUCUUUUACCCGGGAAGAUAAUGACUGUACCGGGAGAAUAAGCCCCGGCUAACUCCGUG